UUGACCUUGAAUCAAGGUCAGCAGUUUGCUGAAGUGAUUGUUUCAAGCAGAAGCCUGAAGAAAUCUCUAUCUAUGAUCUGUUGGCCACUUCAGAACUUUCGUAAUGGAAUGGUCAACUCAUUAGAAAGAAACAUUU
Bison bison bison is the source of this 136-nucleotide small nucleolar RNA. NCBI's taxonomy places the organism in Eukaryota, Metazoa, Chordata, Mammalia, Artiodactyla, Bovidae. The record is from Ensembl.